This 549-nucleotide ribosomal RNA is filed under the name Rhizophagus sp. (in: glomeromycetes). RNAcentral describes it as "SSU rRNA". It matches the Rfam family "Eukaryotic small subunit ribosomal RNA", at positions 548 to 1098 of the family's 1831-position model. The record is from RNAcentral. RNAcentral also lists the same sequence under 1 other name. Lineage: Eukaryota; Fungi; Glomeromycota; Glomeromycetes; Glomerales; Glomeraceae.
UUGGAGGGCAAGUCUGGUGCCAGCAGCCGCGGUAAUUCCAGCUCCAAUAGCGUAUAUUAACGUUGUUGCAGUUAAAAAGCUCGUAGUUGAAUUUCGGGGUUAGUAGGUUGGUCAUGCCUCUGGUAUGUACUGGUCUCACUGAUUCCUCCUUCCUGAUGAACCGUAAUGCCAUUAAUUUGGUGUUGCGGGGAAUUUGGACUGUUACUUUGAAAAAAUUAGAGUGUUUAAAGCAAGCUAACGCUUGAAUACAUUAGCAUGGAAUAAUGAAAUAGGACGUUCGAUCCUAUUUUGUUGGUUUCUAGGAUUGACGUAAUGAUUAAUAGGGAUAGCUGGGGGCAUUAGUAUUCAAUUGUCAGAGGUGAAAUUCUUGGAUUUAUUGAAGACUAACUACUGCGAAAGCAUUUGCCAAGGAUGUUUUCAUUAAUCAAGAACGAAAGUUAGGGGAUCGAAGACGAUCAGAUACCGUCGUAGUCUUAACCAUAAACUAUGCCGACUAGGGAUCGGAUGAUGUUAAUUUUUUAAUGACUCAUUCGGCGCCUUACGGGAAAC